GACGAACGCUGGCGGCGUGCUUAACACAUGCAAGUCGAACGGAAAGGCCCUGCUUUUGUGGGGUGCUCGAGUGGCGAACGGGUGAGUAACACGUGAGUAACCUGCCCUUGACUUUGGGAUAACUUCAGGAAACUGGGGCUAAUACCGGAUAGGAGCUCCUGCUGCAUGGUGGGGGUUGGAAAGUCUCGGCGGGUGGGGAUGGACUCGCGGCUUAUCAGCUUGUUGGUGGGGUAGUGGCUUACCAAGGCUUGGACGGGUAGCCGGCCUGAGAGGGUGAACGGCCACAUUGGGACUGCGAUACGGCCCAGACUGCUACGGGAGGCAGCAGUGGGGAAUAUUGCACAAUGGGCGGAAGCCUGAUGCAGCAACGCCGCGUGCGGGAUGACGGCCUUCGGGUUGUAAACCGCUUUCGCCUGUGACGAAGCGUGAGUGACGGUAAUGGGUAAAGAAGCACCGGCUAACUACGUG
This 468-nucleotide ribosomal RNA is filed under the name uncultured bacterium. RNAcentral's name for it is "partial 16S ribosomal RNA". It matches the Rfam family "Bacterial small subunit ribosomal RNA", at positions 28 to 507 of the family's 1533-position model. The record is from RNAcentral.